GACGAACGCUGGCGGCGUGCUUAACACAUGCAAGUCGAACGGAAAGGCCCUGCUUGCGGGGUACUCGAGUGGCGAACGGGUGAGUAACACGUGGGUGAUCUGCCCUGCACUUCGGGAUAAGCCUGGGAAACUGGGUCUAAUACCGGAUAGGAGCCAUCUUUAGUGUGAUGGUUGGAUAGUUUUUUCGGUGUAGGAUGAGCUCGCGGCCUAUCAGCUUGUUGGUGGGGUAAUGGCCUACCAAGGCGGCGACGGGUAGCCGGCCUGAGAGGGUGGACGGCCACAUUGGGACUGAGAUACGGCCCAGACUCCUACGGGAGGCAGCAGUGGGGAAUAUUGCACAAUGGGCGCAAGCCUGAUGCAGCGACGCCGCGUGGGGGAUGACGGCCUUCGGGUUGUAAACUCCUUUCGCUAGGGACGAAGCUUUUGUGACGGUACCUAGAUAAGAAGCACCGGCUAACUACGUG
RNAcentral lists this ribosomal RNA (464 nucleotides) under uncultured bacterium. RNAcentral's name for it is "partial 16S ribosomal RNA". It matches the Rfam family "Bacterial small subunit ribosomal RNA", at positions 28 to 507 of the family's 1533-position model. The record is from RNAcentral.